RNAcentral lists this ribosomal RNA (482 nucleotides) under uncultured bacterium. Its description in RNAcentral is "bacterial SSU rRNA". It matches the Rfam family "Bacterial small subunit ribosomal RNA", at positions 30 to 506 of the family's 1533-position model. The record is from RNAcentral.
UUGAACGCUGGCGGCAUGCCUUACACAUGCAAGUCGAACGGUAACAGGUCUUCGGAUGCUGACGAGUGGCGAACGGGUGAGUAAUACAUCGGAACGUGCCCGACCGUGGGGGAUAACGCAGCGAAAGCUGUGCUAAUACCGCAUACGAUCUACGGAUGAAAGCGGGGGACUCGCAAGAGCCUGGCGCGGACGGAGCGGCCGAUGGCAGAUUAGGUAGUUGGUGGGAUAAAAGCUUACCAAGCCGACGAUCUGUAGCUGGUCUGAGAGGACGACCAGCCACACUGGGACUGAGACACGGCCCAGACUCCUACGGGAGGCAGCAGUGGGGAAUUUUGGACAAUGGGCGAAAGCCUGAUCCAGCCAUGCCGCGUGCAGGAUGAAGGCCUUUGGGUUGUAAACUGCUUUUGUACGGAACGAAAAGACUCCUUCUAAUAAAGGGGGUUCAUGACGGUACUGUAAGAAUAAGCACCGGCUAACUACGU